CCUACGGGGAGGCAGCAGGAAGGAAGAUUGGGCAAUGGCCGUAAGGUUGAACCAGCCAAGGAGCGUGAAGGAAGAAGGAUCGAUGGUUUGGAAACUUCUUUUAGAGGGGAAGAAAGGUAUCAACGGGGGGAUAUUUGCAUGUACCCGAGGAAUAAGCAGCGGCUAACUCCGUGCCAGCAGCCGCGGUAAUACGGAGGAUGCGAGCGUUAGCCGGAUUUAUGGGGUUUAAAGGGUGCGUAGGUUGUUUUUUCAGUCAGCGGUGAAAGUUUGUGGCUCAACCAUAAAAUGGCCGUUUCAACUGGCAGACUUGCGUGUGUUUGCGGUAGGCGGCCUGCGUGGUGUAGCGG
RNAcentral lists this ribosomal RNA (347 nucleotides) under uncultured bacterium. RNAcentral describes it as "partial 16S ribosomal RNA". It matches the Rfam family "Bacterial small subunit ribosomal RNA", at positions 338 to 681 of the family's 1533-position model. The record is from RNAcentral.